CUCGAAAUUCAAAAUCUGAGCAAACAAGUACGAAUUGCAAAUUAGGGUUCCAAACUAGGAGGCGAUGACGAUCUCUCCUCCCUUCACUCAAAAAUCUCAAUUCUUCAAUUCUCUCUCAUCUUCGAUCUCAUCAUCAGGUGAGAAGAAGAAAAAGAUGACGUCUGGGUUUUCCGGAGAUGUGUUAUACGACGGAGGUGGUGCAGGGACCGGCGGAGGGAGGGCGGAGAUGGCGACUUUCCGACAACAACAGCAACAAUAACAACAUCAAAAAUCGUGAAUAUUAACACAAAGGGAGGUGAAGAAGGAAAUGGCAGGGAGGAGUAGAGUGUAUGAUCCGAGCAAGCUGCAUUUGAAGAGGGAGCUGGCCCAAAUUUGAAAGGCGGCACGGGUAUUGCGUGAUCCUGGUACCACUCACUUCCUCUUGGAAAUCACCUUUAGAUUUAAUUAUACCAGUGCAUAACCUGUAUAUUUGAUUCUUCGGCGCCGGCGAUCAAAUUCCUUGGUUGUUCCUGUUGUUCGCAGGUUGUUUCAAGUGUUGAUUUUCUUCUGUUUUUUCCCAGCAACAGCUGAUGUGUUCUGCUGCAUGUUUUGUUUGUUAGGGUGCGGUGUGCACCCUUCUUUGUUGAUUGAUGUUUCUUUCCUUGAGCUGGAGGGAUGAAUGAAAGCAUUGGGAUGAGACUUAAUUUGAGUAGACUUGCUGUUGAUUAGUCAUUUAAGUUUUUGCCUUAAUUUUUGAUGGGAUGAGAAUGAUGGAGAAAUAUGUAAUAGUAAAAAAUAUUUUGAAGUCUCAGAGCCUCUAUUUGUGUUAUCUCUACUUUUUCGAAUUUAACAUGACAAUACUUUCUGCAAGUCUCAGGGCCUCUAUCUGUGUUUUCUCUAUUUGUGUGCUUGCACCUUUUUAGCUUUUGAAAUU
This is a long non-coding RNA of Spinacia oleracea (spinach), 913 nucleotides long. RefSeq lists it as uncharacterized. The transcript has 6 exons. The record is from RefSeq and is a predicted model, not a curated record. NCBI's taxonomy places the organism in Eukaryota, Viridiplantae, Streptophyta, Magnoliopsida, Caryophyllales, Amaranthaceae.